CCAAACAUUGUAAAUGAAGGUAGACCCACCUGACAGUAAAGUAAGACAUGUAUACAUUUAAACGUUAAAACGUACACGAAUACCCGUGACACUGCUGGACAACUGCGUCACUACAGGAAGAACUUCCCAGUGGAUGAAUGUACUUAUCAAAACAAACAAAACCACGUAUGCUUUCAACGAAAUGCUCGAGUGAACUUGCUAUUACCUCGAUUGAAACAACGUGCCGAUUUAAUUCUAGUGUUACUCCAUAUUUUUUUGUGUUAACCGACAACAAAAAUGCCAUUUCAAGGAGCCAUGAGGAUUAUUUUACCGACGUUGUGGGCUAUUUCAACCAUAGCAGAGGAAUCCACGGUUUCGCCAACAGGCAUUACUACUACCAUCAACACCAAACAUAUCACGAAUUCGAGUGCCAACAACACGACGUCCAAGAACAAUCACCGCAACUUUUUCAACGCUUUCAAUGUAGAUAAUUCAAUGAUACAAAGAACAUUGUAUGUCCUUAUUGGAAUCACCACGAUUGGAGUGCUCUAUUUUCUCGUGAGAGCUGUGCGGCUGAAGAAAACAACAACCUCUCGGAAGAAAUAUGGCCUGUUGUCAAACUAUGAUGACAGCGUGGAGAUGGCUGCUCUGGAGAGUGAUGAGGAGGAGGACGACACUGUAUAUGAAGCCAGGUCCCUGAGAAAAUAAGUCCGGGUCUUGUCAAAGAACACACAUUGGACUAGGGAAAGAAUGGAGACCUUCCCAAAGCAUAUUUUUCAAUGGUUAUUAUGGCAUAUAAUUGUUUUUCUUAAUCUCUUGGCCAUGAAAACAGCAAAACUGGCUAUCAAAAUGACUGCUCUAUCCUCUGAUGAACACUCAUGUUGUAUAGCUUCCUGGGUAUGAAGAAGACAUGGUGUUUUUGGUGACCAAACCGACCUUUGAUUCUAUCUAUGAAGAGGAAGAAAUGGGAUUUGUAACAUUACAAGACCAAACCAGUUGUGCUGGGUCUGAUGCCAAAGCUGCUUGAGUGAAUGUGAGCAGAAUAAUGUUUUCAAAUCAGCUCAGCGACAAUGCGUUGUAUUGUGUAAAGUGGACCACUAUGUCCCCUCUGCCCAUCUUGAACUGUGCAUAACAAAGACAACAAUGAACAAAAUAUCUCAAUUAACCCGGUUGAUGUGGUGUUGCCAAGGUUUUAUUUCUUUGUCUCAAAAUUCUGUUGCCAUGUCAUCCUAUAUAUUUUGAUGUCCACCUUGAAUCAUACCUGGACCAUUAGUUAGGCUAGUGGCUAAUAGCCUGAUUGUGUUUACAAACUACUGUAAACUAAACCAGCCUACCAAUAUCCCCACCCCAUUUGAACUAUGCACCAGCACUAGAAUGUUGUACUGUAGGAUGUACCUGCUCUAUUUGGAAGACCCAGACCUAAUAUGUUCACAAUACUAUUAACACAAAGGAGUCUCUCAGAAAGCAAGGCUAAUCAAUAUGCAAUUCCACUGGCAAUCAUAAAUAUCACGCCCUCCUUUAUGUUUACCUGCAACUUUGUAAGAGAAGAUGUUACUCAUAUCAGUUAAACUGUAAAGAGAAAAAAAAACGUAUGAUGGGAUUUUCUAAAGAAUGACUAAUUUCAGAGCUGGUUCUUUGCUUUUUGUUACACAUGGUUGCUGUUGACUGAUUUAAAUUGUAUUCAUGUUUAUGAAGUUCAUUUUCACUUUUUGAAACAUUUACUCUGUGUUUUGUCCAGAGAACUUGCUGUUGUAUUAACACAAGAUACUACAUUAUUUAAAAAAAAAAUCCUUUACCAAUCCUUGGUUAGUCAAAAUACAUUUUUGAAUCUAUUGUGUAUUACGUUUCCAAACCAUACUCAAGUUGCUGAAGCACUUACCUUUUUAAGUGGAUCCCUGGAAGUCUCUGUCACUACUGUACUUGUUUCCAUAGAAAUUGCUAGGGGGACACCCAGCGAUAUGACGCACUGCUUUAUACAUUGUAAAAUCUUGGUUAAUUGUACCUUUCUUUCCAGGAGGUAACUGUAUUGAUAGUAGAAUGUGAGGUUACCUUCCCGGUAAUCAGAAGAGAGAGUUCUCUCAAAAGGGCUGCUAUCCUGCUGAGAAUACUCCCAGGUGUCUCUCUUGUGAUUACACAUAUUGGAAAAAUUGAUUGUACCCUUUAAACAAUGUCAAUACCAUUUUGCUCUGGCUAAAGUAGCAGGCCCAUUAAUCUGGCUCAUCACCCUGAUACCCUCCCUAAUGUAUCUCUAUAAGUCAUUUUGGAUGCUAUUCAAGAAGCGAAUCUUGUGAUUGUGUUUCUGGGAUAAGUGUAAAACUAUAUUUUCCCUCAUGACAGAAAAUGGCAUUUAUGAAUUAAUAUAGCAUCUCCUUUUUGAUUUGUACUGUUAUGUCAAGUACAUGGAUCUAAAUGUAUAGUCUUAUCUCAAAAACAUAUGCCACAAAACCCAGUUACUGUGCUUGUUUGAAUAGGGUCCAGAAUCUGGCAUCAAGUGCCAUGAGUGUCUGUUUUGCAGAGUAUGGAACUCACUCACCCAGCCAAUGUAGACUAUUCUCCAGCCAUAGGGGGACUGGGAGCACACAGUUGGAACUGACUACCAGGGAGGGUUUCUGAUGAUACAGGACAGAAAUGGGAGAAACCAUUGGAAUCAUUUGGGGGUGGAUGUGGGGGAGAAACAGUACGUCUGUACUAGAAACAGUCAUAUUUUGUAAGAUUGUAAAUGCUGCACCUGAGCUGGGAACAGCAGCUGUUGGGAUGCCAGAUCACAUCGUUCGCUGGUGUAAUAAGAUUUGUUUCGUCUCAAGGUGUUUUUCUGUCUGCAUUCCAUUCAGUCUGUGCUAAUCUUGUAUUUAAUGCUAGCGAUGUUAGUUACAUGAUUAAGGCCUCAUUGAAACUUCAAUUCUCUGACUGGAUCUAACAAAUAUAACGAUGACCUUCUCAGUUUGAAUAUCUAAUUUGUUACCAAUACAGUUUUGACUUGUUUUCAUGGUUUUUUUCUCGCCAUCCUCUCUCUGUCAACUGUAUGGACAUUGUGAUUGGCAAAAUCAUUCCUUUGUCAAUACUUUGGCCUGUGUGAUACAGAAGUCACAGUCGUGUUGGGAAUGAGUUCAAAGUCUGUGUAUUAAGUCUUGUGUUCCCUGUUGAAGACUAGUAGUGAGUGCUGUGUGGAUGCAGCAGGGCCGAGGCCCUCUGGUUGGUGGUGGGUAGCCUUGUUCGAUUGUUCUGACACUUAGGCUGUUCCUGUUUGCUCUUUUCAAAUAACAAUGAAAAUAAAAACAGUGAAACUUU
This is a long non-coding RNA of Oncorhynchus kisutch (coho salmon), 3267 nucleotides long. RefSeq lists it as uncharacterized. NCBI's taxonomy places the organism in Eukaryota, Metazoa, Chordata, Actinopteri, Salmoniformes, Salmonidae. The record is from RefSeq and is a predicted model, not a curated record. The transcript has 3 exons.